This 77-nucleotide transfer RNA is filed under the name Aeromonas hydrophila. Its description in RNAcentral is "tRNA-Ile". It matches the Rfam family "tRNA". Rfam says of the family: Transfer RNA (tRNA) molecules are approximately 80 nucleotides in length. RNAcentral also lists the same sequence under 11 other names. Lineage: Bacteria; Pseudomonadati; Pseudomonadota; Gammaproteobacteria; Aeromonadales; Aeromonadaceae. The record is from RNAcentral.
GGCCCCUUAGCUCAGUUGGUUAGAGCAGUCGACUCAUAAUCGAUUGGUCGUGGGUUCAAGUCCCCCAGGGGCCACCA